RNAcentral lists this ribosomal RNA (479 nucleotides) under uncultured bacterium. RNAcentral describes it as "bacterial SSU rRNA". It matches the Rfam family "Bacterial small subunit ribosomal RNA", at positions 28 to 507 of the family's 1533-position model. The record is from RNAcentral.
GAUGAACGCUGGCGGCGUGCCUAACACAUGCAAGUCGAACGAAGCAAUUAAGAUGAAGUUUUUGGAUGGAAUCUUGAUUGACUGAGUGGCGGACGGGUGAGUAACGCGUGGAUAACCUGCCUCACACUGGGGGAUAACAGUUAGAAAUGACUGCUAAUACCGCAUAAGCGCACAGUGCCGCAUGGCAGUGUGUGAAAAACUCCGGUGGUGUGAGAUGGAUCCGCGUCUGAUUAGCCAGUUGGCGGGGUAACGGCCCACCAAAGCGACGAUCAGUAGCCGACCUGAGAGGGUGACCGGCCACAUUGGGACUGAGACACGGCCCAAACUCCUACGGGAGGCAGCAGUGGGGAAUAUUGCACAAUGGGCGAAAGCCUGAUGCAGCGACGCCGCGUGAGUGAAGAAGUAUUUCGGUAUGUAAAGCUCUAUCAGCAGGGAAGAAAAUGACGGUACCUGACUAAGAAGCCCCGGCUAACUACGUG